Phrynosoma platyrhinos (Desert horned lizard) is the source of this 71-nucleotide non-coding RNA. The record is from the annotation of a GenBank genome assembly. NCBI's taxonomy places the organism in Eukaryota, Metazoa, Chordata, Lepidosauria, Squamata, Phrynosomatidae.
GCCAGUGUGGUGUAGUGGUUUGAGUGCUAGACUGCAACUCUGGAGACCUAAGUUCAAUUCCCAGUUUGGCC